GGGCAGAAAUUUCCCACACGAUUGUCUGUGGCUUUGUAUGCAGAAUGCGAUAAUGAAGGAAAGCAGCUAUAAUGUGCUUGUAGUGGUGGUGGACCACCAGGAGGUGGGAAGCUCUGGUGAACAUGAGUAAUACCUUCUACAUUGAAAUGUUUUGAUGUGGACCUGGAUCCAAGUGAGAGUUGGAAUCUAACUGCCCCCCACCCCCCACACCACUGGGCUUCAGAAGCUGAUGGCAUAGUUAUGAGAGGGGUGAAGACUGCGACUGCAUUUCCAACAGACCCUGAGGACAAUUGGGAAGAAUGCGCUGAAUAUUUUUGAGCAAUUUCUAUAUGAUAAGCAGUUUUUAGGCAAGGGGGAUGAGUCCAUAAGAUGACACUGGAAAAGGGGAUUGGCUUGAGUGCACCAGGGGGCCAGAGACAUGGGUCAUCCCUGGUGACGGGAGUUGGAAUGCUCCCCUGAGAUGGAGACUGGAAGUACAAGAAAGAAGAAAGUUGUUGUGAGGUUGCACUGAUCCUGACCUUUUGGCCUGAGGAUGGAAGUCUUCAGUAUCUGUACAACUUUACUCCCAAGAGCUGGUGUAGAAUGAGUUCCUCUGGCCAUGGGAGGAUCGCAGAGGGGCACCUGCCACCAGCAGCCCAGCCUCAGCACUUUUCUCUUCAGCGUCUUCUUCAAGGUAUUUCCAGUUGCCCGCCCUGAACUGUUUCAGAAUGAGGAGGACACCUGGAGGAAUCUACACGUGCAUAGACCAAUUUGCAAAAGAACCUGUGAGCCAACAUUAUUACCUCAGCUGGAAGAAUUAAUAAGCAACACGUUCACCCAAGAAGUAUUUACUGAGCACCUACUAUGUGCAUUAUUUUCUGGUGUUGGGGCUAGGGGGCAAACGACUCUGACAAGUCUCUGUUCUCAAGGCUGGAGUGCAGCGGCGCGAUCUCGGCUCACUGCAAGCUCCGCCUCCCGGGUUCACGCCAUUCUCCUGCCUCAGCCUCCCGAGUAGCUGGGACUACAGGCGCCCGCAACCACGCCCGGCUAAUUUUUUGUAUUUUUAGUAGAGAUGGGGUUUCACCAUGUUAGUCAGGAUGGUCUCGAUUUCCUGACCUUGUGAUCCGCCCGCCCCCGCCUCCCAAAGUGCUGGGAUUACAGGCGUGAGCCACCGCGCCCGGCCGUAGUUUACAUUUUCUAAAGCGUACUCUGCCAGCCAAGUGGCAAACAGACUUGGGCCUCUUAAGAGUGGAAGCAGGAGGAAACCCGAAGAUCCUGGAGAGAGACUGGUGGCUGGUACCAGUGGAGAGGGAGCAAAAAGGAAAAUACAGGAUACAAUUUCAGGAAAAAUUUCAUACCAAUUUCCUGAGGUAAUUUCUGAACUCGAACAUUUUCAGUGUCACCACAUUGUGUUUCCUGCUGAAUCAAGUCUACAUCACUUCGGUUUUUAAAGCCUUCCACGAUCCUUCCCUGAACACUGUAGUUUUCACUGAUGGUUGGCUGUUUCAAACUCCCAUAUGAUCCAUACUGUAUCAUUAAUAAGCAAGCAAGGAAUAACACACCCUCUGCUAUUCUGUGCAGUGUUUCAGGUUUUUAGUUUUCUCUUUCAAGAUAGAAAAUCCCUUUAGAGUAGGAACUCGGCUGGCACUUUCUUUCACAUCCUGCAUAGCACUUAGCAAAGUUCUGUACACAGGGCACAUGUGGAAAUUGCUUAUUGAUUGAUUAAAAG
Homo sapiens (human) is the source of this 1708-nucleotide long non-coding RNA. Ensembl annotates it as AQP4 antisense RNA 1. Its record names the gene AQP4-AS1. NCBI's taxonomy places the organism in Eukaryota, Metazoa, Chordata, Mammalia, Primates, Hominidae. The record is from Ensembl.